Molecule: ribosomal RNA, 481 nt
Filed under: Sulfitobacter pontiacus
Lineage: Bacteria; Pseudomonadati; Pseudomonadota; Alphaproteobacteria; Rhodobacterales; Roseobacteraceae
Description: bacterial SSU rRNA
Rfam family: Bacterial small subunit ribosomal RNA
Source: RNAcentral
AUGAAGGUCUUAGGAUCGUAAAGCACUUUCGCCAGGGAUGAUAAUGACAGUACCUGGUAAAGAAACCCCGGCUAACUCCGUGCCAGCAGCCGCGGUAAUACGGAGGGGGUUAGCGUUGUUCGGAAUUACUGGGCGUAAAGCGUACGUAGGCGGAUUGGAAAGUUGGGGGUGAAAUCCCAGGGCUCAACCCUGGAACUGCCUCCAAAACUAUCAGUCUAGAGUUCGAGAGAGGUGAGUGGAAUUCCAAGUGUAGAGGUGAAAUUCGUAGAUAUUUGGAGGAACACCAGUGGCGAAGGCGGCUCACUGGCUCGAUACUGACGCUGAGGUACGAAAGUGUGGGGAGCAAACAGGAUUAGAUACCCUGGUAGUCCACACCGUAAACGAUGAAUGCCAGUCGUCGGGCAGUAUACUGUUCGGUGACACACCUAACGGAUUAAGCAUUCCGCCUGGGGAGUACGGUCGCAAGAUUAAAACUCAAAGG